This 269-nucleotide ribosomal RNA is filed under the name uncultured bacterium. Its description in RNAcentral is "partial 16S ribosomal RNA". It matches the Rfam family "Bacterial small subunit ribosomal RNA", at positions 85 to 354 of the family's 1533-position model. The record is from RNAcentral.
UAAAAUCUUAGUGGCGGACGGGUGAGUAACGCGUGGGUAACCUGCCUUACACUGGGGGAUAACACUUAGAAAUAGGUGCUAAUACCGCAUAAGCGCACGAAGCCGCAUGGAUUUGUGUGAAAAACUCCGGCGGUGUAAGAUGGACCCGCGUCUGAUUAGCUUGUUGGCGGGGUAACGGCCCACCAAGGCGACGAUCAGUAGCCGGCCUGAGAGGGUGGACGGCCACAUUGGGACUGAGACACGGCCCAAACUCCUACGGAAGGCAGCAG